This 800-nucleotide ribosomal RNA is filed under the name Myroides sp. F006. RNAcentral describes it as "bacterial SSU rRNA". It matches the Rfam family "Bacterial small subunit ribosomal RNA", at positions 36 to 842 of the family's 1533-position model. Lineage: Bacteria; Pseudomonadati; Bacteroidota; Flavobacteriia; Flavobacteriales; Flavobacteriaceae. The record is from RNAcentral.
CUGCGGCGGCUACCAUGCAGUCGAGCGGUAGAAGGAGCUUGCUUUUUUGAUACCGGCGCACGGGUGAAUAACGCGUAUGCGACCUACCUUAUACAGGGGAAUAGCCCGAAGAUUUCGGAUUAAUGCUCCAUGGUUUAUCGAGUGGCAUCGUAUUGAUAAUAAAGAUUUAUCGGUUUAAGAUGGGCAUGCGUAUCAUUAGCUAGUUGGUGUGGUAACGGCAUACCAAGGCAACGAUGAUUAGGGGUCCUGAUAGGAAAAUCCCCCACACUGGUACUGAGACACGGACCAGACUCCUACCCUACGCAGCAGUGAGGAAUAUUGGUCAAUGGAGGCAACUCUGAACCAGCCAUGCCGCGUGCAGGAUGACGGUCCUAUGGAUUGUAAACUGCUUUUGUACAGGAAGAAACCUCCCUACAAGUAGGGACUUGACGGUACUGGAAGAAUAACGAUCAGCUAACUCCGUGCCAGCCCCCGCGGUAAUACGGAGGAUCCGAGCGUUAUCCGGAAUUAUUGGGUUUAAAGGGUUCGUAAGCGGCUUUAUAAGUCCGUGUUGAAAUUACCUAGCUUAACUAAGACACUGCCAUUGAUACUGUCUAACUUGAAUAGUAUGGAAGUAACUAGAAUAUGUAGUGUAUCCAUGAAAUGCUUAGAUAUGACAUGAAAUACCAAUUGCGAAGGCUGGUUACUACGUACUUAUUGACGCUGAUGAACGAAAGCGUGCGGAGCGAACAGGAUUAGAUACCCUGGUAGUCCACGCCGUACACGAUGGAUACUAUCUGUUCGGUUUUCGUACUGACUGG